This 322-nucleotide ribosomal RNA is filed under the name uncultured eukaryote. RNAcentral describes it as "partial 18S ribosomal RNA". It matches the Rfam family "Eukaryotic small subunit ribosomal RNA", at positions 1470 to 1796 of the family's 1831-position model. The record is from RNAcentral.
CCCUUAGAUGUUCUGGGCCGCACGCGUGCUACACUGAGUGGAUCAGCGGGUCAGGUUGCGCGAUAGCGUUUCCUAAUCUUUAAAUCCGCUCGUGAUGGGGAUUGACGGUUGCAAUUUUCUGUCAUGAACGAGGAAUACCUUGUAAGCGCGGGUCAUCAUCCCGCGCUGAAUACGUCCCUGCCCUUUGUACACACCGCCCGUCGCUCCUACCGAUUGAGUGGUCCGGUGAGGCUUUGGGAUCUGAGCGGAAAGAGCGUUUCGCUGUUUCUGCUCGGAAAACUCAGUCGAACCUUAUCAUUUAGAGGAAGGAGAAGUCGUAACA